Non-coding RNA from Paramuricea clavata, 390 nucleotides. Lineage: Eukaryota; Metazoa; Cnidaria; Anthozoa; Malacalcyonacea; Plexauridae. The record is from the annotation of a GenBank genome assembly.
GAACCCAAGCUUUCGCGGUUCACACGAAAUAGUACGUCGUUCAUCUGGUGAUUUUCACUAAUAAUAAGAGGAUAGGAUCAUCCAAUUAUUUAAUCGUUCGAAGCGCGAGGAAACCAUGCUUCCAUAUAUGGCACAAACGUGUCCCCAACUUCCUUAUAUGGCACAAACGUGUCCCCAAAAUAUUUUAUCGAAGCCGUUAUGAUGUCAUAAGAUUUUUCCCGCUCGGAACGAUUUGAAUAGGUCACGUGGUACAGAACCCAGACAGCUGAUUGGGUUAGCAAGUGACAACGCCCACUUUAAUCCUACCCUCUUAUUAUUAGUGAAAAUCACCGACGUUAAUAUUUCGUCUGAACCGCGAAAGCGUGGGUUCCAAUGUAAAUAAAUAUGGCG